AGAGCGCAGGGUGGAUGCCUUGGCACUGAGAGCCGAAGAAAGACGUGAUAAGCUGCGAUAAGCUGCGGCAAGAAGCAAAUAUUCAAUGAACCGCAGAUUUCUGAAUGGGGAAACCUGGCUGAGCAAACCUCAGUCGUCCUAUACUGAAUACAUAGGUAUAGGUCGGGAACCUCCUGAACUGAAACAUCUAAGUAGGGAGAGGAAGAGAAAGAAACAUCGAUUCUGUUAGUAGCGGCGAGCGAAAGCGGAAGAGCCCAAACCGGAGUGCGUGCACUCCGGGGUAUGGACUGCGACAUGGCAGUGCAAUUGAUAGCAGAAGGGUCUGGGAAGUCCCGCCAAAGAGAGUGAAAGCCUCGUAUGCGAAAUCAAGAACACGCCUAGCAGAAUCCGGAGUACCACGAGACACGAGAAACCUUGUGGGAAGACGGAGGGACCACCCUCCAAGGCUAAAUACUACUCAGUGACCGAUAGCGCAUAGUACUGUGAAGGAAAGGUGAAAAGGACCCCGGGAGGGGAGUGAAAGAGAACCUGAAACCCUGUGUUUACAAGCUGUGGAACUACGUUAAGGUAGGACCGCGUACUUUUUGUAGAACGGUCCGGCGAGUUUCUUGUACCGGCAAGGUUAAGCACUUAAGGUGCGGAGCCGAAGUGAAAGCAAGUGUUAAGAGCACGUAAAGUCAGUACAAGAAGACCCGAAACCGGGUGAUCUACCCAUGUCCAGGUUGAAGUCGCCGUAAAAGGCGAUGGAGGACCGAACGCACAUCCGUUGAAAAGGGUGGCGAUGAGGUGUGGGUAGGGGAGAAAUUCCAAUCGAACCCGGAGAUAGCUGGUUCUCCUCGAAAUAGCUUUAGGGCUAGCCUCGUAUUAGUCUUGCGGAGGUAGAGCACUGAAUAUCCUAGGGGGCGUCAAAGCUUACCGAAGAUUAUCAAACUCCGAAUGCCGCGUAGAUGAUGUACGGGAGUCAGACUGCACGAGAUAAGUUGGGUAGUCAAAAGGGAAAGAGCCCAGACCACCAGCUAAGGUCCCAAAGUGCGUGUUAAGUGGUAAAGGAUGUGGGAUUUCGAAGACAACUAGGAUGUUGGCUCAGAAGCAGCCAUACAUUCAAAGAGUGCGUAAUAGCUCACUAGUCGAGAGGUCCUGCGCCGAAAAUGUCCGGGGCUAAAACACGACACCGAAGCUUAGGAAUGUAGAAAUACAUUGGUAGAGGAGCAUUGUUAGCGCAGCGAAGCUGUACCGAUAAGGAGCAGUGGAGUGCUAAGAAGAGAGAAUGCCGGAAUGAGUAGCGAGAGGAAGGUGAGAAUCCUUCCGGCCGAAUAUCCAAGGUUUCCAGAGUAAAGCUGAUCUGCUCUGGGUAAGUCGGGGCCUAAGGCGAGGUCGAAAGACGUAGUCGAUGGAUAACAGGUGGAGAUUCCUGUACUAUGUGUACCCAGAACUGUGGGGACGCAUGUGGAGAGCAUGAGCCGGGAAAGAGAAGACCGGUACAAGCGGGGUAGGAGUAAGGACAGCAAAUCUUCCUUACAAUCCGAAGACGUAAUGUGGACCGAACCAAAGUAGGGAAGCGUGUGAGCCAUGUGCCAAGAAAAGCCGCUAUUGUGAUACACAUACCCGUACCGUAAACCGACACAGGUGGAUGAGGAGAGAAUCCUAAGGCCGACGGAAGAAGCAUUGUUAAGGAACUCGGCAAAAUGACCCCGUAACUUCGGGAGAAGGGGUGCCCUGUGAAAGCAGGGCCGCAGAGAAUAGGCUCAAGCAACUGUUUAGCAAAAACACAGGUCUAUGCGAAACCGAAAGGUGAGGUAUAUGGGCUGACGCCUGCCCGGUGCUGGAAGGUUAAGAGGAGAAGUCAGGCAACGAAGCUUCGAAUUUAAGCCCCAGUAAACGGCGGCCGUAACUAUAACGGUCCUAAGGUAGCGAAAUUCCUUGUCGGGUAAGUUCCGACCCGCACGAAAGGCGUAAUGAUUUGAGCACUGUCUCGACAAUGCAUCCGGUGAAAUUGAAGUACCAGUGAAGAUGCUGGUUACCUGCGCCAGGACGGAAAGACCCCAUGGAGCUUUACUCCAGCUUGAUACUGGGAUUCGAUACUGUAUGUACAGGAUAGGUGGGAGACGUUGAGCAUAGAACGCCAGUUUUAUGUGAGUCGCUGUUGGGAUACCACCCUUGCAGUAUUGGAUUUCUAACCUGCA
Molecule: ribosomal RNA, 2183 nt
Filed under: metagenome
Description: bacterial LSU rRNA
Rfam family: Bacterial large subunit ribosomal RNA
Source: RNAcentral